AAAGAUAUCUCUCAAUAAUUCAAGGACCUCCUUUCAUUUCACUCGGCCCUCUCUUCCCAUUUCUCUCAGACCUCUCUCUCUUUAAGAUAAAAAAAAAAACAAAUAGCUCUCGUCGGCGCCGUCUCUCUCUCGAAACUCUUAUCUCUCUCAUUUCUCUUUGCACUGAGACCCACAUACACACACGCACACCAUCGCACCUGCUUGAGGAAGACACUCAUCGUCAUCAGUAACCUCGUCUUUCUCCCUCUCCUUCUCCUUCUCGUCUCUGCAACUCGGCGACGCAGGAACCCUCCGGCGAGUUUCUUGAAUUUCUCCGGUUAAGUUUUUGGGACGAAAUCGGCUCGGGAAUAGGCACACCCAUCUCCGACGAGGCUGUGGGCGUCGAUGAACUUUCCGAACAUCUCCGACCGUUUCACAGCAAACGAAAGUUAUAAAAACAUUCCUCUCGUCUUGUAUUUUAUUUUGAUACCUAGAUCGGAGUCUAGGGGUGCUCUUUUACAGUCGGUCAGAGCUGUAGAAGCUCCAGCGUUCUUCUCUGAUUCGCACAUCUCCAAAAUAUCGUGAUAUUAUCGGUAAUAUCGCGAUAUCGUCGAUAUUAUUGAUAAUAUUGCGAUAUUUUGAUGAAAACUCAAUGGAUAAGUAUUAAAAUAUCGGUAACUAAAAAAAACCGAUAUUAUGGACGAAAUAUCGUCGAUAAUAUCGGCAUUUCAUACUUUGAGUACCACAUAGAGUUCCUAUCAAGGUCUAAAAUAUCGAUGAUAUCGGAAAUAUCAGUAGUUUAAAAACACGGAAAUUUUGAUGGAAAUACCAGGAUAAUAUCGAUAUUUUAAACCUUGCUCCUACUUUAUUUCAUGCAUUAUUUUAAGUUGCUUUUAAAAUUUUUUGUUUAGGAGGCAUUUUUGUCCAAAAUUUUUUGGUGAAGCUAUGACCCCAUAAUAGAGCCUACUGGCCUUUUAUUCAGCCACAAACGAAACCACCACAAUAAAGCAUUUUACAUAUCCAUAAAGCACCCUAAAAUAGAUCAAUGUUGUUAUGCAGUAUACAUGCA
Long non-coding RNA from Malus domestica (apple), 1048 nucleotides. RefSeq lists it as uncharacterized. The record is from RefSeq and is a predicted model, not a curated record. NCBI's taxonomy places the organism in Eukaryota, Viridiplantae, Streptophyta, Magnoliopsida, Rosales, Rosaceae.